UACAUAGGGGGCAAGCGUUAUCCGGAUUUAUUGGGUGUAAAGGGUGCGCAGACGGAGAAGCAAGUUGGUUGUGAAAUCCCUCGGCUCAACUGAGGAACUGCAACCAAAACUACUUCCCUUGAGUGUCGGAGAGGAAAGUGGAAUUCCUAGUGUAGCGGUGAAAUGCGUAGAUAUUAGGAGGAACACCAGUGGCGAAGGCGACUUUCUGGACGAUAACUGACGUUCAUGCACGAAAGUGUGGGGAGCAAACAGG
This 253-nucleotide ribosomal RNA is filed under the name uncultured prokaryote. RNAcentral describes it as "partial 16S ribosomal RNA". It matches the Rfam family "Bacterial small subunit ribosomal RNA", at positions 524 to 776 of the family's 1533-position model. The record is from RNAcentral.